Molecule: RNA transcript, 1282 nt
Organism: Cucumis sativus (cucumber)
Lineage: Eukaryota; Viridiplantae; Streptophyta; Magnoliopsida; Cucurbitales; Cucurbitaceae
Exons: 5
Source: RefSeq, a predicted model, not a curated record
GAUUAAAUGUUAACCCCUAUCGGAAAACCCCGUUCCAUUCUUGUCCAUCUCUUCACUCCACCGCCUGAUUCCGCCUCGAUCUCCGAACUCUUUGAAGGUCAUCUCCGGACGAUGCCCAAUUCCGUCACCGCCACUGCCCCUUCGUGUCCAUCUCCUCACUCUAGUGCCACCGGAACCUUCUAUACUGGAAGACGAAACGUCCUCCGUCCUAUUCUGUUCAAUUUGUGUCCGUAAUCUCCAAUUCGCCGCAUUCUCUCUUCAACAUUUAAUCCGCAGCCAUCACCUCCUCACCGAUAUAUGAAAUUGGUGGCGGAUCAGGAACGUGUGCAAAGGGGAUAAUGGAUUACAUAAUGUUGAAUGCACCUACAAGAGUUUACAAGAAUAUGACUUAUACUGGAAAUAAGUUCGUCUCUAGCAGAGGUACAGAGACAAACUGUUGGAGAGGUUCGUAGUCACCAAUCAAAAUUUAAAGUAGAGUGUCGUGAUGCUGUUGACUUGAGUGGAUGGGGAGACAUGGAGGAGCAGCCGUGUUGGGUAAUUAUGCUUGAGAACACAAGUCAGAUUCUGUGGACUUUGAUGAAGAAUUUGAUGUACGCUUUGAAGAUGAAUCUGUAUGUCCAUUUUUCCUUUCUCUACUUUAUUCAUAUUUAAUAGUAACUUUAGUGGUUUGCUUCUUCCCUCUUUCCUUUGAGCACCCAAGGCACGGGUCCCUUGGAAAAAUUCCAAGGAAACGAGCAGCUCAUCACCGUGAAAAAGGUUCUUUCUUUUUUUAAUGUUUUAACUAGUUUAACUCAUUAUGUUUGAACGUAAGUGUAUCUUGAUUAAAACAGCUAAAGAGACAUGAUAUUUGGUUGAUGAGUGAAAUUUUUAAUGCAUUAUGUUUAGCAACGAAAGAGAUAUAUGAGACUAGUUUAACACAUAUGAGACUAGUUUAAUGUUUUAUGUUUUGACUAGUUUAACUGCUUUUUCGGUUAAUUACAAGGCUGGAAUGACCCACAUUGUCAGGGAGGUUGAGAAGCUCGGAUCUAGUACGUGUUCUUUGAAUUCACUAAUCUAUUUGGAUGACCUUGUUGUGUGGACACUCUAGUUAUUCUUCUAUAAUCUCACUAUUGUUUUUUUUUCAAUCUUACAUUAAUUGUAAUGUUUCUUAAUUACAUUUAAUUAACUUUUUACAGGUAAUGUUCUUUAGUCAUACUCUAAAAUGAGAUUUUUGUUUUAUAUGUUGAUAAACUUUGUAUGAAUUCAUUAUAUUGUCGUAUAUUACACCAACCAUUUGACACUA